This 439-nucleotide ribosomal RNA is filed under the name uncultured bacterium. Its description in RNAcentral is "partial 16S ribosomal RNA". It matches the Rfam family "Bacterial small subunit ribosomal RNA", at positions 339 to 795 of the family's 1533-position model. The record is from RNAcentral.
CUACGGGUCGCUGCAGUGAGGAAUAUUGCACAAUGGGGGGAACCCUGAUGCAGCAACGCCGCGUGGAGGAUGACGCAUUUCGGUGUAUAAACUCCUUUUAUAUGUCAAGAAAAUGACGGUAGCAUAUGAAUAAGCACCGGCUAACUCCGUGCCAGCAGCCGCGGUAAUACGGAGGGUGAAAGCGUUACUCGGAAUCACUGGGCGUAAAGGACGCGUAGGCGGGUUGGAAAGUCAGGUGUGAAAUCCUACAGCUUAACUGUAGAACUGCACUUGAAACUUCUAAUCUAGAGUAUGGGAGGGGGAGAUGGAAUUAGUGGUGUAGGGGUAAAAUCCGUAGAUAUCACUAGGAAUACCUAAAGCGAAGGCGAUCUCCUGGAACAUUACUGACGCUAAGGCGUGAAAGCGUGGGGAGCAAACAGGAUUAGAUACCCUGGUAGUC